Molecule: ribosomal RNA, 253 nt
Filed under: uncultured bacterium
Lineage: Bacteria
Description: partial 16S ribosomal RNA
Rfam family: Bacterial small subunit ribosomal RNA
Source: RNAcentral
UACUAAGGGGGCUAGCGUUGUUCGGAAUCACUGGGCGUAAAGCGCACGUAGGCGGAUUUGUUAGUCAGGGGUGAAAUCCCGGGGCUCAACCUCGGAACUGCCUUUGAUACUGCAGAUCUCGAGUCCGGAAGAGGUGAGUGGAAUUCCUAGUGUAGAGGUGAAAUUCGUAGAUAUUAGGAAGAACACCAGUGGCGAAGGCGGCUCACUGGUCCGUUGCUGACGCUGAGGUGCGAAAGCGUGGGGAGCAAACAGG